RNAcentral lists this ribosomal RNA (416 nucleotides) under uncultured bacterium. Its description in RNAcentral is "bacterial SSU rRNA". It matches the Rfam family "Bacterial small subunit ribosomal RNA", at positions 385 to 793 of the family's 1533-position model. The record is from RNAcentral.
GAUGCAGCCAUGCCGCGUGUAUGAAGUAAGGCCUUCGGGUGUAAAGUACUUUCAGCAGUGAGGAAGGUGGGUAUGUUAAUAGCAUAUUCAUUUGACGUUAGCUGCAGAAGAAGCACCGGCUAACUCCCGUGCCAGCAGCCGCGGUAAUACGGAGGGUGCGAGCGUUAAUCGGAAUUACUGGGCGUAAAGCGCAUGCAGGUGGUUUGUUAAGUCAGAUGUGAAAGCCCGGGGCUCAACCUCGGAAUUGCAUUUGAAACUGGCAAACUAGAGUACUGUAGAGGGGGUAGAAUUUCAGGUGUAGCGGUGAAAUGCGUAGAGAUCUGAAGGAAUACCGGUGGCGAAGGCGGCCCCCUGGACAGAUACUGACACUCAGAUGCGAAAGCGUGGGGAGCAAACAGGAUUAGAUACCCUGGUAG